CAGUAGCCGCGGGAAUACGGAGGGAGCUAGCGUUGUUCGGAAUUACUGGGCGUAAAGCGCACGUAGGCGGUUUAUCAAGUCAGAGGUGAAAGCCCGGGGCUCAACCCCGGAACUGCCUUUGAAACUAGUAGACUUGAAUCUUGGAGAGGUCAGUGGAAUUCCGAGUGUAGAGGUGAAAUCCGUAGAUAUUCGGAAGAACGCCAGUGGCGAAGGCGACUGACUGGACAAGUAUUGACGCUGAGGUGCGAAAGCGUGGGGAGCAAACAGGAUUAGAUACCCCCGUAGUCCCUGUCUCUUAUAC
RNAcentral lists this ribosomal RNA (301 nucleotides) under uncultured bacterium. RNAcentral describes it as "partial 16S ribosomal RNA". It matches the Rfam family "Bacterial small subunit ribosomal RNA", at positions 509 to 807 of the family's 1533-position model. The record is from RNAcentral.